Molecule: non-coding RNA, 25 nt
Filed under: Cricetulus griseus (Chinese hamster)
Lineage: Eukaryota; Metazoa; Chordata; Mammalia; Rodentia; Cricetidae
Source: RNAcentral
AAUUUAUGUACUAGAAGUUGAUGUA